Molecule: ribosomal RNA, 564 nt
Filed under: Triticum aestivum (bread wheat)
Lineage: Eukaryota; Viridiplantae; Streptophyta; Magnoliopsida; Poales; Poaceae
Description: partial small subunit ribosomal RNA
Source: RNAcentral
AUGACCUUGGUGAAGGUAGUCCUUACGGCGGUGGCCAUUUAUCACAUCACGCCGCUCGACAUCCCGGUGGAGGUUAUAAAAGCGAUUGACAAGUUGCGGCGUGCCUACCUCUGGGCAGGGUCUGACUCGGUUAGUGGCGGCAAGUGCAAGAUUAAUUGGGAGCAUGUCUGCAAGCCAAAGGAGUAUGGGGGCCUUGGCAUUUUGCACCUUCGCAAAUUUGCUGCCGCCCUCCGGCUGAGGUGGCUAUGGCUUGAGUGGAAUGACCCACCUCGUGCGUGGUGUGGAUUGGGGACGCCUUGCACGACUUCCGAUCGCGACCUUUUCGCGGUCUUGACUGAGGUCAAGAUCGGCGAUGGACAGAAGGCUUCCUUCUGGGAAUCUUCUUGGCUUCAGGGCGUUAGGCCCAAAGAUAUUGCGCUAAAGAUUUUCGAUAUUUCAUGCAAGAAAGGUGUUACGGUUGCCACGGCCUUAAGGGAUGGGCACUGGAUAGCACAAAUCAACAUUGACGCUAGCCUCACUCUAGAACGCCUUCAACAAUUCUGCUUAUUUGGCGCAGUUUCAUGA